GCCUGGGCCUGGCGGGGCCGCUCUGGGCCGGGCUAUGAGGGGCGCCCCCGAGUGGGGCCUGCGGCGGUGCUCCGGGGCUGAGCCCGAGGGGGCCGUGGGGAGGACCUGAGGGCGGCUGGGGGGGAGGGAACGAGAACGGGGUGGGGCGAAGGGGAGGAGGGAUGAGCAGGUGCGGACAGCGGGCCUGUUGGAGCAGGAAGGGGCGGGGGCGGCCGCGGCCCGGGGCGGGCAUGGAGGAGCGCGGAACGGUCUGAGCCGUGUGGGGCCGGUGGGUGCGGGGCGCUGCUGGGGGUGACGGGAGGAGGGGAGCAGCGGGGGGACACCGGACCGGGGGGAGUAGCAGGCCUUAAGGGUGAUUGGGGAAACGUGGGGGGGACGGCGGCCCUUGGGGGUGUGGGGACGGUCCGUGGAGCGAAGGGGGUUUCGGGCCCUCGGUUUGUUAUGUGCCCCGUUUGGAUGAGCCCCGGCCAGCAGGGACUCGGGAUGCUGUACUCCCAGCCCCAGUAUGCCCUCUGUCCCCUAUGGGACAGCGUUGUGUGGGGCAGCGAUGCUUGGGUGCUCCCUGGGCUGCUGGGCCGGGUGGGUCCUCGCUUUGCCUCUCCACAGCCCAGUGCUGGCCCUGCCAGCUGCAUUCAGGCACCCCGUCCUUCAGUCAGAGCAUUAGUGGGGCUGGCCGGGCAGGGGGUCCAGCUCUGCCCUCACCUCUGUGGCUGCAGCUGAAUCCCUAAAGCUUCCAUCCCGCGGUAAAUGAAUCCAGGCAGAGCAGCCAAACCCUGAGGUGGUCGCAUGGUUUGACAUCACCCCUCGCUGCUCCAUGGCAGCAGCACCGGGCACUGAGUGGGAUCCUGCCCUGUGCCCCUCAGCAGCAGCUCUUUGGGCUACAGCCUGAGGUCGCGCUGCAGGACGUGACCCUGUGUUGCCCUUGGUCCUGCUGAUAAUUGGCUUCAACGGGGAUUGUCUGCGAGGAGGAUUUGUUGUAGAGCCCGAGGUGAGGGAGGAAGCCAACACUCAGCAUCGUGGCCCUUUGUCCCUUGUCCCCAGGUGGAGGGGAGCCAGUGUGGAUGGGAGAGAUUUGUACCAUGCGCAGCGGAGCGAUGGUUUGGGGCUGAAGUAAGGUCCAUCAGCAUGCUCCAGGUACCACUGCCCCUGGAUCGUGAUGGGAUCCUAUUCCGGCUCCGUUUCACCACUCUGGCUGUUGGGACUGUGUUUUGCCCCUUGUUUGGUUUCCUUUUCUGCGUGAUUUGGUCUCUGCUCUUCCACUUCCAGGAGACAACAGCCACCCACUGCGGGG
Molecule: long non-coding RNA, 1291 nt
Filed under: Gallus gallus (chicken)
Lineage: Eukaryota; Metazoa; Chordata; Aves; Galliformes; Phasianidae
Description: long non-coding RNA NONGGAT001446
Source: RNAcentral